GGACUACUGGGGUAUCUAAUCCUGUUUGCUCCCCUAGCUUUCGUCCCUCAGCGUCAGUUGUGAUCCAGCGAGCCGCUUUCGCCUCGGAUGUUCCUACGGAUAUCUACGCAUUUCACCGCUACACCCGUAAUUCCACUCGCCUCUCUCACACUCUAGCACGGCAGUUUCGGCAGCAGCCUCUAGGUUAAGCCUAGAGAUUUCACUACCGACUUGCCACACCGCCUACGGACCCUUUACGCCCAGUAAUUCCGAGCAACGCUGGCCCCCUACGUUUUACCGCGGCUGCUGGCAC
RNAcentral lists this ribosomal RNA (292 nucleotides) under uncultured Acidobacteriota bacterium. RNAcentral describes it as "uncultured Acidobacteria bacterium partial 16S ribosomal RNA". Lineage: Bacteria; Pseudomonadati; Acidobacteriota. The record is from RNAcentral.